AGUGAACGCUGGCGGUAGGCCUGACACAUGCAAGUCGAACGGCAGCACAGUAAGAGCUUGCUCUUACGGGUGGCGAGUGGCGGACGGGUGGGGAAUACAUCGGAAUCUACUUUUUCGUGGGGGAAAACGUAGGGAAACUUACGCUAAUACCGCAUACGACAUACGGGUGAAAGCAGGGGAUCUUCGGACCUUGCGCGAUUGAAUGAGCCGAUGUCGGAUUAGCUAGUUGGCGGGGUAAAGGCCCACCAAGGCGACGAUCCGUAGCUGGUCUGAGAGGAUGAUCAGCCACACUGGAACUGAGACACGGUCCAGACUCCUACGGGAGGCAGCAGUGGGGAAUAUUGGACAAUGGGCGCAAGCCUGAUCCAGCCAUGCCGCGUGGGUGAAGAAGGCCUUCGGGUUGUAAAGCCCUUUUGUUGGGAAAGAAAAGCAGCAGGUUAAUACCCCGCUGUUCUGACGGUACCCAAAGAAUAAGCACCGGCUAACUUCGUG
RNAcentral lists this ribosomal RNA (492 nucleotides) under uncultured bacterium. Its description in RNAcentral is "partial 16S ribosomal RNA". It matches the Rfam family "Bacterial small subunit ribosomal RNA", at positions 29 to 507 of the family's 1533-position model. The record is from RNAcentral.